Molecule: ribosomal RNA, 720 nt
Filed under: Acaulospora longula
Lineage: Eukaryota; Fungi; Glomeromycota; Glomeromycetes; Diversisporales; Acaulosporaceae
Description: SSU rRNA
Rfam family: Eukaryotic small subunit ribosomal RNA
Source: RNAcentral
UUAGGGUUCGAUUCCGGAGAGGGAGCCUGAGAAACGGCUACCACAUCCAAGGAAGGCAGCAGGCGCGCAAAUUACCCAAUCCCAACACGGGGAGGUAGUGACAAUAAAUAACAAUAUGGGGCCCUUACGGGUUUCGUAAUUGGAAUGAGUACAAUUUAAAUCUCUUAACGAGGAACAAUUGGAGGGCAAGUCUGGUGCCAGCAGCCGCGGUAAUUCCAGCUCCAAUAGCGUAUAUUAAAGUUGUUGCAGUUAAAAAGCUCGUAGUUGAAUUUCGGGAUUUGUCAGUUGGUCGGGCUUAACUGUCCGUAUUGACUCGAUGGAUUCUUACCUUCUGAAUAACCAGCAUGCUAUUAAUUUAGUGCGUUGGGGAAGCAGAUCUAUUACCUUGAAAAAAUUAGAGUGCUUAAAGCGAGCUAGUGCUUGAAUAGAUUAGCAUGGAAUAAUAAAAUAGGACGGCAUGGUUCUAUUUUGUUGGUUUCUAGGAUCACCGUAAUGAUUAAUAGGGAUAGUUGGGGGCAUUANUAUUCAAUUGUCAGAGGUGAAAUUCUUGGAUUUAUUGAAGACUAACUUCUGCGAAAGCAUUUGCCAAGGAUGUUUCAUUAAUCAAGAACGAAAGUUAAGGGAUCGAAGACGAUCAGAUACCGUCGUAGUCUUAACCAUAAACUAUGCCGACUAGGANCGGACGAUGUUNAUUUUAUAUGACUCGUUCGGCACNUACNG